RNAcentral lists this transfer RNA (74 nucleotides) under Chloroflexi bacterium ADurb.Bin222. RNAcentral describes it as "tRNA-Arg". It matches the Rfam family "tRNA". Rfam says of the family: Transfer RNA (tRNA) molecules are approximately 80 nucleotides in length. Their secondary structure includes four short double-helical elements and three loops (D, anti-codon, and T loops). The record is from RNAcentral. Lineage: Bacteria; Bacillati; Chloroflexota.
GCCCCUGUAGCUCAGAUGGAUAGAGCACUGGCCUCCGAAGCCAGUGGCCCGCGUUCGACUCGCGGCAGGGGUAC